This 3136-nucleotide long non-coding RNA is filed under the name Lynx pardinus (Iberian lynx). Lineage: Eukaryota; Metazoa; Chordata; Mammalia; Carnivora; Felidae. The record is from RNAcentral.
AAAAAAUCCUUCUCUCACCCUACAGAUACCUGUACGGAGAGCUUGGGAGGCUUUUCCAUAGGCUCAUUGUCAAGUGAAAGUUAAGCCCCCACUCACUGGGAAGCGAAGGUAAGUCUGAAAAAUCGCAUUGAAGGAAAAGGAGAGGGGAGGGGGGGUGGGGAUGAAAUCACCUAGCAUUGAAGCAGCCUAACCAAGUGACAGACACGUAGACAACUCUGAUGCUGCCAGAACAACACUCUGCACAGCCCACCAGCAAGCAAUUUGUCACUGCGACAAGAAUAUCCUCCGCAAUUUGGCAUCAGGGUCCUUGGACAGCCAACUGCGCCUGUACAGCACGAGACGUGCUAUGCGGCAACGGGAAAGAUGGGAACCGACGUUCUCGUUAUGUCCAAACGUGUUAUUUUAUGAAAAACAUAUCUUUUGUCAUGAUCAACACAGAGACAGAACAGUAGUAAUUGAUGAUAACUGGGGACAAAUAAGACAACAAAUUGAGAAAAAGUAUGUUCUUGUAUGUUUUUGAGGUACUCUGUGUUGAGAAGAUUUCAGGAUGUUCGCUGUUUGUCUGAUAUUUUAUGGCACACUCCCACAGUGUUUCCUAGAAAUAAUGAAUCCAUAGGUGUAAGAAUGAACUGGAAAGAUUUUUGGUAGUAAACCAGUUGCUUUUAGCAGAACAUACUCUGCUUUGUUUUAGACUUGUAUGUGUGUAUAUUGUGUGUUGAUUAAUACGUGGCUAAGUGCAAACCGUUUCUUACUGGUGUGAUUUGAAAUAAGACAAAGAAUUCAAGGUAAGUUGGGUUAUAAAUGUGCAAAGGAAAGACCCUUUACUCUUUACAUUGCUACUCUGGUAAUCUAUUAUAAAAGUGCAGUAAAGGAGAGAAGCCAGGGGCAUAGGAUAAAGGUAUCCGAUAAAUAAGCAAGUAGUGUUCCUCUUGCCAAUUACUUGGCAUCUUACUUUGUAAUUAAUGCCACAGUAAUGAAAAAAGUGGUAGGCACGAAGAUUGGGCCUUUUGUGCAUUCUAUACAGAACCAAACACUCAUAAAAAUCUAGCUCAAAGCUAGCCUAGUUUGGCUCUCUCCACAAUCAAAACUUGCUAGGGAAUUAGAACAAUCCCAUAGGGUGUGUGUGUGUGUGUGUGUGUGUGUGUGUGUGUGUGUUGCAAUGUAUUAUAUAAGAGUGACAUAAGGCAAUUGUGGUAUUGCUGUCUCUAUAACAGAGACAAGAGUGUCCUUCAUUCCCCAGACAUGAUAGAAACUUGUACCCAUUCUGCCAGUAUCUAACAUCAUGGUAUCUAUUAUGUUGUUCACUAGUUGUGCUAUGAAACACUUUAGCUAACUGCUACUUAAGUGGCUAUGAUAACUGCCUUACAAUGCCUCGUGUAUUUCCCAGUAGCUUAUAUAUUUGUGCUUUAAGGGAACUUUCAGAAAAUACUAAAACUACUUUAAAUGUAAAUAAUAGUGAAAGUGGUAAUACUACAUAGGCACUUUUUAAGAUGGAGGAAAGAAUCUAAUUUAGGCAAUUUUGAUAUCACUUGAAACACAGUACAAAUUUAAAAAAUACUGUUAAUAUUAUAAUCCUUAAAAACAUGAAAAACACAUUUUUCUCUAGCUAUCCAUGUAAACUGGACAUUGGGUGGUUUGGAGUUGGGGGUUGGAGAAAGAGAUGUUUAACUGCGAGACUUGGAUAUGGUGUUAGGGGUGGAGUAUGUUGAGUAGCUAUGUACACAGAUAGCUAAAUGAAAUGACCUUAGAUUUAUAUCCAUUUAGGGGUAGGACAGGGAAAGGGGAGAACAGAGAGGUAUGUGAAGAGAGAAUGUUCGGGGCUAGAGGGUAUAAAAUAUAGUGGAGAUCAUAAGGAAAACUAACCCCUACUUUUCUAAGCUUUGCAUGGGGUGUUUUCCGUGCAACUCCCAUUAAAGUCAAUGGGAAUCAUGCGGCUAAAACCCUAUGUAACUCUUUGACAAUUUACUUCCUAGUGUCUGGAAAAGAGUACUACCUACUAAGGGCAAUUUACUCAUUUUAGUUUGUGCCUUCCAUACAAAGAUGAAUUUGAUAGCAUAUAGCAGGAGGAAAAGAGAGACUGCAUUUAAGAUUUUGUUAUUGCAAAAGAAAUCAUCACUGAAAAAUGUCGUCUAAACUCUCACCUUGUUUAGCAACAACAAUAAACAGAGAAAAGCAAUCCAGUGAAAGAAUAUGAAAAGAAGUAUGGACUUGAUUACAGGAAAAAUGGUGAUUGCUAUAUGAGGGUGUUUUUUUCCCCCAUUUUAAAUUCUCGAGCUCUGAACACAAUCGCAGGAUAAUAAGAAUAGAGGACAAUUCUUAAGACACCAAAUUGAAGCUCUUGAUUACUUGCUUUUUCCCAUGCACCUCAAGUUGUACAUAUGUAAAUAUAGCUAUGGUAGCCUUACAAAAUCUUUAAUAAUACAAAUACAGUGAAGGGGGGUUGUCAUAGUUUCUAGUUAUGGGUAGAAGUAUAGAUAAAAUGACAGAUAUUUAUCUUGCUGUAAGCAAUAACUAAAUAAAUGUAUUGUAUACUCUAUCUAAUAUUAUUUUUGAAAGCUAUAGACUGUGCAUGUUAAAAAGUACAUGCUAUUUAUAAUCUCUUUCAUGAACUUGGAAACAGGAAACUAACACUGGCUUGCAAAGUCUUUAUUUUUAUUAUAGGGCUCUAUAUUUUCUUACUUUCAAGUGAAAUGUCUAUUUAGGUGCUUUACUGAUAUAAUUCUUAUAACUGUACAACCAUAUAAUAAGCUUAUGUGGGCUGAAGAUACAGCUCUUGUGUUUUCUGAGUCCCUUCUCUGUGAUUUGUUUUCUGACUUUUCCUUUGGAGGGUGAAGAAAUAAGAUACUACAUGGCUCUGCUUUUUAGUGCAUGGAUCAGAGACACAUCUAUGAACAACUGCCUACGCAAAUUGAUUACUGGGCAAUAUCAUUUCUCAGUUUUUAUGGGUAAAUGAGUGCUUCUCGUCAUGGACCUAGCUUGUGCAUCAAUUUAGGUAAGCAUACUGCUGCAGCAGCCUUGAAACUAUUGCUCUCUGAUUGUACCAAUUAGCAAAUCCUGAACUUUACCACCAGGAAAAGACAUAGCUCCACAUUUAUGAAUGCCUGGCUUUUGAGAAUUAGAGUAAUUAUGUCACCAA